GAGAGAGAGACCCAAAAAGGGUGGUUUGAGUCUUGGUUCACACAGUCCCCCUGGUUAACUACGCUUUUAUCAGCCCUAGCCGGUUCAUUAAUAUUCCUCAUAUUAUUGCUAACUGUAGGACCCUUUUUUCUCAACCGUGUAGUUUCCUUUCUCCAAACUCAAAUUGGACAGGUUAAACUUAUGGUAAUCAGAAAACAAUAUACCCAAUAGCAGACAUAAAAUGUGACACCCCCAAUGAUCACUUUUAUGAUUAAAAGUAGCCAGAAGAAGAAGUGGGGAAUGAAAGGUUAAUAAAAUAGGUACUUGUCACUCCGUUUUUCUGUAUGCUUAACAAAACACUGUUGAAAUCUUAAGAACUGUUUGCUAAUCUUGUUCCCAGAAUGUGCUGUCCCCAACUGCCAAACUGAAGAAUGUACUCCCUCACCUGGUUGCAGGCAAACUGCCCACUCACCCUGACCCGUCAAUGAACUUCCCUCCCUA
Molecule: long non-coding RNA, 480 nt
Filed under: Marmota monax (woodchuck)
Lineage: Eukaryota; Metazoa; Chordata; Mammalia; Rodentia; Sciuridae
Source: RNAcentral